Molecule: ribosomal RNA, 478 nt
Filed under: uncultured Actinomycetes bacterium
Lineage: Bacteria; Bacillati; Actinomycetota; Actinomycetes
Description: bacterial SSU rRNA
Rfam family: Bacterial small subunit ribosomal RNA
Source: RNAcentral
AGAGUUUGAUCCGUCAGGAUGAACGCUGGCGGCGUGCUUAACACAUGCCAAGUCGAACGAUGAACCUGUGCUUGCACGGGGGAUUAGUGGCGAACGGGUGAGUAACACGUGAGUAACCUGCCCUUGACUUCGGGAUAAGCCUGGGAAACUGGGUCUAAUACUGGAUACGACCUCUCACCGCAUGGUGUGGGGGUGGAAAGUUUUUGCGGUUUUGGAUGGACUCGCGGCCUAUCAGCUUGUUGGUGAGGUAAUGGCUCACCAAGGCGACGACGGGUAGCCGGCCUGAGAGGGUGACCGGCCACACUGGGACUGAGACACGGCCCAGACUCCUACGGGAGGCAGCAGUGGGGAAUAUUGCACAAUGGGCGAAAGCCUGAUGCAGCGACGCCGUCGUGAGGGACGACGGCCUUCGGGUUGUAAACCUCUUUCAGUAGGGAACAAGGCAUCAUUUUUGUGGUGUUGAGGUACUUGCAGAAGA